Molecule: long non-coding RNA, 479 nt
Filed under: Homo sapiens (human)
Lineage: Eukaryota; Metazoa; Chordata; Mammalia; Primates; Hominidae
Description: non-protein coding lnc-NOCT-5:3
Source: RNAcentral
AAAGCAGGCUGCCCGAGCCAGCAUUGGCAACCCGCUCGCGUCCCCUUCCAGACUGUGGAAGCUUUGUUUUUUCGCUUUUUGCAGUAAAUCUUGCUACUGCUCGCUCUUUGGGUCCAGGCUGCUCUUAUGAGCUGUAACACUCACGGCGAAGAUCUGCAGCUUCACACCUGAGCCCAGCGAGACUACGAGCCCACCCGGAGGAACGAGGAGCUCCAGACGCGCUGCCUUAAGAGCUGUAACACUCACCGCGAAGGUCUGCAGCUUCACUCCUGAGCCAGCGAGACCACGAACCCACCAGAAGGAAGAAACUCCGAACACAUUUGAACAUCAGAAGGGAUAAACUCCAGACGUGCCACCUUAGGAGCUGUAAACCUCACCGUGAGGGUGCGCGGCCUCAUUCUUGAAAUUGAGUUGACUUCAAGAAUCGGUCUUCGAGCUUCUUUCCUCAGCUUGGUUGAUUCUGCUGUUAAUACUUGUGA